GCCUUCGUGGUGGGGUGGUAGCACACUCAGCUACACAUUCGAGAGGUCCAGGUUCGAGUCCCGGCGAAAGUA
RNAcentral lists this transfer RNA (72 nucleotides) under Stegodyphus mimosarum. It matches the Rfam family "tRNA". From Rfam's summary of the family: Transfer RNA (tRNA) molecules are approximately 80 nucleotides in length. Their secondary structure includes four short double-helical elements and three loops (D, anti-codon, and T loops). Further hydrogen bonds mediate the characteristic L-shaped molecular structure. tRNAs have two regions of fundamental functional importance: the anti-codon, which is responsible for specific mRNA codon recognition, and the 3' end, to which the tRNAs corresponding amino acid is attached (by aminoacyl-tRNA synthetases). tRNAs cope with the degeneracy of the genetic code in two manners: having more than one tRNA (with a specific anti-codon) for a particular amino acid; and 'wobble' base-pairing, i.e. permitting non-standard base-pairing at the 3rd anti-codon position. The record is from Rfam by way of RNAcentral. Lineage: Eukaryota; Metazoa; Arthropoda; Arachnida; Araneae; Eresidae.